Molecule: long non-coding RNA, 10248 nt
Filed under: Nicotiana tabacum (common tobacco)
Lineage: Eukaryota; Viridiplantae; Streptophyta; Magnoliopsida; Solanales; Solanaceae
Description: long non-coding RNA (NTAB_LNC002542)
Source: RNAcentral
CCCUAUAUAAUAGGACCUACACCUAAAUAUACACACACCCAAAAUGUUGAAUCCGCCGUUUCAUGAACUCCCUCUAGGUCUCCUUCUUCGCUGAUACACGGUAACACACUUUAAACCUCAAGAAAUCAUCCAUUUCUAUCCAUAUUGGACAACAAACAAAGGCUAAAUCCCUAGGACAUCAACAAGUACACAAAAAAGGAGGAAUUUUGGAAAGCGGCAGAAUUAUUGAAGUAGAUCCACCACCAAAAACUCCAUCUUCUUCACCAUUAAAACCAUUAAUAUCACCUUAAGACCAGCAAUGAACGACUCUUCAAAACCAAUCCAAACCCAGCUGAAAAUCACCCUAAAACACCACCUGAAACACAUUAAACCAACGAGAAUAAAAAUCAACUCGAAGCCAUUAACUUCCAGACCUCGUCGUAUUUCGUCGUUGCUCGUUCUUCAUCCUCGAACACGAGAAUACAGCACGUCGACCUAGGUUCCCAAUGAGUCCGAGUCAAAGUGUUCCGACGAGCUUUUCGGCAGAUUCGCGGUUCCAUCGAGUUUGUCACUGUCCAAAAUACGUUGGAGUCGAUCCAAGGAAUGCACUGAGUUACGAGAUUUUCCAGUGAGUUUUCCAUGUUCUAGUCGCGAUUUUGCUCGUUGUUGAGUUUCACAAUAAUAAAAGUUAGACCCUUCAUUUGAGUUCUACCCUUUAUAUUUGUUUCUUCUAUACGAUUUGGCAUUUCUUUUAACUGAUUAUCUUAGCGCAACUUUCUAUGCUUUUGUGGACGAUGAUGCUAUGUUAGAUUUAAGUUGCUCUUAAUACUUGAACAUGUUUUUCACGUCUGAAGGGAUAUCUUAUCUUCUUGUACUCGUUGAUUUGAAAUUUUUGAGCAUGCAAAAUGGUUUAAGUUAAUACAGUAGGAUUUUCAUUCAUUUUAAUUAGAUACAUAAGUAUAUUAGUGAGUUAUUUAGUACUGGCGUGAGUCUUUGAAUUAAAAUAUAAGUUUGAGUCCUUGAAAUUUUUGGUGGGAUUGGGAAUUCACAUUUUGAGUACUACAACUACUAGUUUAUUAUUUAGGAAUGGGCUAUCGUUUUAUCUAUCAUCUGAUGGUACAUUUCUCCGCUGCAUUUUGAUGUUCGCCAACUAGAAUAGGGAAAUAGAAUACUGUUUUCCCUAGUAUAAUGUACUCCCUCCGUUGGCACAUUUUAAUUUAUCAUCGUGAUUGUGUACACAUUUGCGUGACAUAAUUACGAUUCUAAAAAUCAAUUCGGAGUAUGCGUUCGCGCAACUUCGAUCAAACUUCCUUAAUAAUAAAAUUAUUUUUGAUAGGCCGCUAAAUUGAAUUUAGUUUUUAUAGUCUAAGAUGCGCCAUCCACAAUUUAAUUAUACGUGACCCUCGCAUUAAUCUUGUGACAUAGAAUAUAAAAAUGAUAAAUGUUCGUAGUUUGCUUUAGGCACGUUUUAAUGUACUAUUGUGGUUGUGGACACGUUCGCGUGAUAUGAUUACGAUUUCUAAAAACAAAACCGGAGUAUGCGUUCGCGCAACUUCGACCGAACUUUCUUAAUAAUAACAAAGCGUUAUUAAUUGUGGACACGUUUGCAUGACAUGAUUUUGACGUGCAAAACAAAAGAUUAUACGUACGCGUAACUCAUUUCUUUAAGUACGAAUAAAUCAAGUGAUUAAAAACGGUUAAAAGGGUAAAUGCACAUAGGUCCUAAAAAUGAGUAGUUGAACAAUUAAGGCAAAUAUAAAUUGCUAAGCGACCGUGCUAGAACCACGGAACUCGGGAAUGCCUAACACCUUCUCACGGGUUAACAAAAUUCCUUACCCGGACUUCUGUGUUCGCAAACUGUAUAACAGAGUCAAUCUUUCCUCGAUUUAGGACUUUAAACUGGUGACUUGGAACACCAUAAAUUAUUCCAAGUGGCGACUCUGAUUUUAAUAAAUAAUCCCAUUUCGAUUGUCACUUAAAUUGGAAAAAACUCCCUCUUAUACCCUUCCGGGGUGUAGGUAAAAAGGAGGUGUGACACAUAUCUUGAAUAGAUUCAUCGUCCUUUAUCCUGAAGAGUUCAUACUCGGUAGUGAGCAUAUCGAUCUUAGAUUGUUUUACUUUGGUGAUUCCCUCAUGAGCUAUUUGCAAAGCUUCCCAUAACUCCUUAGCAGUGUCACAAACAGAGAUUCUAUUGUAUUCAUCAGGUCCUAUUCCACAAACCAAAAUCUUCUUGGCACGAAAAUUCUUCUCCACAGCUUUCCUGUCUACAUCGGUGUAUUCUUUUCUGUUUUUUGGCAUUAGGAAUGGAAGUUCUUCAAGUACCUUUGUUGGGACGUAAGGGCCGUCACAUAUGACAUCCUAUUACUCAGAAUCCUCAGCCAUGAUAAAAUCGUGCAUUCUUGUCUUCCACCACCUAUAGUAUUAUCCAUUGAACCUGGGUGGUCUGUAUGUAAAUUGACCUUCUUCAAAAUUUGGUGGAGCAGCCAUAAGGAUCCUUCCUAGGUGUUAGCCUGAUAGGAGGAACCUGCUCUGAUACCAAUUGUUAGUUUAUAUGAGUCCACCAAAUAGUAGAGUACCUGGUCCUCUAUGAGUUUUACUGAGAAUGCUAAUGACACAGUAAGUAAAAAAGAUACGGGAUUUUUACGUGGAAAAAUCCCAACUCAAGGAGACAAAAACCACGACCUAGACUUGUAGGCUUUUAACUUCACUAACUUGUAAACACCUAUUACAAGUCACUUUGUAAUGACUCCAUUACAAAGACUUCAACUCAACUAACCUGUGAUACUCUUACACAAGCCACUUUGUCACUCUCUAGUUACAAAGACUUUAACUUAUGACUAAUACUAGUCACAACACAAACUCAGAGAGUUUAUGGUUUUUAUAAGAGGGUUCCUAAUCAACGCUUCUAGCUAAGCAAUUUAGGAGUUACAAUAAGAACAAUCACAAAGUUACAACUCAACUAAGGACAACAAAAUACUAGAUUUAGGAACUGGUCCGUAGUAACAUUUAACUUUGUUCUUCAAGCUCUUGAAAAUGAAGUUCACUAUUUUGCAGAAGGCUUGAAUGAAUUUUCAAGUGUUCAAGUGAUGUUUUGAUAUAAACUCCUUGUUAAUACACCUUGAUGACAUCACUUGAAUGAUGUAAGCACUUUAGUUGGUCAAAGAACAAGUGACCACUAGAAACAGUGCAGUGCAGGUAGAAACAGUGCAGGCAGUCACGUCGCUUCCAGCUGUGUCCAAUUGACCUCGUACUGCUAUGAGGGAACCACAAAGGUAUCAGGUCCUUAUUUGGUUCUCUAUCUCCUGAAGCUAUAGCAAUUCACAUUUAGCUAGAAUCCGUUAACUUGCAAUGUAGCCCAAGUGUGUUAGGUUCCCUAUCUGGUCCUUGACAGUAAGUUUGUUAGAUCAUCAGAACAUAAGGCAAAUCCAUUGAAAACCCAUCAAAUAACAUAAUAAAAACUAAAACAGAGUAACAACUAUACAAUCCCAAACUCGGUGGUACAGAGUCAUAAGCUAUAUUACAAUACACUAAGAAACUAUAAUACAAUACUAUUCGGAAGCAAAAUAAACAGUAGCAUAAUAUCACUAGAAGGUGAAUCUGAGGCAUGUGGGCGUCAAACAGGUAUAUCUUGAAGUCUCCGCCAUAUCUGAAUCAACUCACUAGCGACCGACACGGGCAUAAGUACCUGAAUCUUCACAAAAACGCACAGAAGCACAGUAUAAAUAUACACCAACAAUACCUAGUAAGUAUCAAGCCUAACCUCGGUAGAGUAGUGACGAAGUCAGAUCAAGACACCUACUAGACACAGAAAACCUAUGCAAAAUAUGAUAUAAUCCAACAACGAGAAAUAAAAGCAACAAAUGACAACAAAGAGUAAUAAUAAUAUAAGGCUAACAAUGGGAGUAAAAGCAAUGAAUGACAACAAAGAAUGAUCAUAUGAUAAAAAUAACAAACGAUCAAAUACAGUUAAAAUACAAGUGAAAUGAACCAAAAUAAAAAAAUAAUCAUUCAAUUCAACAAGUCGUUCCAACAUAGAAUGUGCAACAAAAAUACACUGAGGUACCACACCUCAUAUUUAUAUUUCAGAAGUCACAAUCACAAUAUUCCUUAUAUUGCCGCGUGAGCCUUGCAUUUAUUUUAAAAAUAUUUUUUCUUAAAUAGCUUCACGCGCUUUAGCCCCUUAUCUCGCAGCACGACUUCAAAUAAUUUCCCAUACAAUUAAAACACGCAGAAAUCCCACCUUAUCUAGCCGCAUGCGCAUCAAUACACUACCCUUUACCACCACAUGUGAAUCCAUAUCAUAACACAACAAUCAACUCGCACCACACAUGCCAAUAUGCCACAACAUUACUAAAAUCAACAAUACCAAUGCAACCAUAAAACAUAGCCCACGGCUCAACCACAAUGUGCACAAGAAUCUCAAUAACAUUCCAAAAUAAAUCGGGAAACAAUUCAACAAUAAAGGAUAUCCCAUAAAACAACAACUUCAAUUGGAACAUGUUAAUAGCUCUCACUAACUACAACUUCAAAUAAAUGUAUAAGAAUAAUCUUAACAAUGAAAGGUAUGACAUGUACAACAACCUCAAUUAAAUGCAUAUAAGAGCAAACUCGACAAUGAAAGGUAGAACAUGUGUUAACAACUUCAAUUAAGACAUAUAAGAGAAAACUUGACAAGUGAAGAUAGAACAUAUAAUAACAACUAUAAUUAAGGCAUAUAAGAGUUAACAUGGAAGAUAGAACAUGUAAUAACAACUACAAUUAAAUCAUAUAAGAAUGAAAUCAACAAUAAAAGAUAUAAUAAGUGACAACUUUAAAUAAAUACAUACAAGUAACCUAAGAGUUACAACUGGUCAAUUUUCACAUAUAAGGCCGUGUACAUGUUUGUCACCUCGUGUACACGCCUUCCACAUAAUUAAAAUAAUAUAAUUUAACCAAAUCCUACGGGGUAGUUCCCCCACACAAAGUUAAGCAAGACACUUACCUCAAACAAGCUAAAUCAAUCCACUAACAAUCACUUCUCGUGCAAAUCCAACUCCGAAUGGCUCUAAUAUAUCCAAAAUAAGUUAAUAUCAUAAAUAAAACCAUAGGAAGCAAUCCCGAAUAAUAAAGAUUAGAUCUUUAAUGAAAAUCAAAAAGUCAUCUAAAAAGUCAAUACCGGGCUCGUACCUCGUAACCCAACAAAACUCACAAAUUUCGAACAUCCAUUUUGAUAUGAGUCCAACCAUACCAAAAUCAUCCAAUUCCGACCUCAAAUCGGCCCUCAAAUCAUCAAUUAAUGUUUUAGAAAAGUUUUUACAAAAAUCCUCAGUUUUUUCAAUUCAAAUCACCAACUAAAUGAUAAAAAUAAAGAUGGAAUCAUGAAAAAUGGACAAAUACGAGUCAAAAACACUUAUCCCGACCCAAAUCGCCCAAAACCUAGCUCUCUAACUCAAAAUGUGAUAUAAUAACUCAAACCCUCAAAAUAGAGUACUAGAUAGAUCUGCCCAGGCAUACUCAUCUCUGACGCAAGACCCUCAUCGCAUUCGCGAAGCCAAAAAAUAUUCUUCCUAGAAAAAGGCCUUCGCGUUCUCCAUAUCGCGAAUGCAAUGAAGAAAACAUCUAAGCCUUUGCGAAUGCGGCUUGGUCCUCGCGAACGCGUAGGCUAAGAUCCUCCCAGCACUCGGAUGCUUCGCGAACGUAGAGCUCGAUCGUGAACCUGAAGAAUGGAGAUUUCCCAAACCCUUUAACCCUUCACGAAUGCGACCACCAUAUCACGAACGCGAAGAAGGAAACCUGACCUAAGAACAUCAGUAGUCCAAAAACAUGAUGGAAUGGUCUGUAGCCCAUCAGAAACAUGCCCGAGGCCCUCGGGAGCCCGUCCAAACACACUAACCAAUCCCAAAAUAUAAUACGAACCUACUCUAGGUCUCAAAUCACUUAAAACAACAUCAAAACUACGAAUCACACCUCAAUUCAAGCCUAAAGAGCUAACGAACAUUUUCAAAUUCAAAUCUUGCACUGAUCAAGCAUAAACAACUCCGAAUGACCUUAAAUUUUUCAUGCAAGUCCCAAAUGACAUAACGGACCUAUUACAACUCCCCGAACUAAAAUUCGAAUCCGAUAUCGAUAAAGUUAACUCUCGAUCAACAUCUCAACCUUCCAAAUCUUCAACUUUCUAACUUUCACGAAAAAGCACCAAAUCAACCUACAGAUCUUCGAAUCAAUAUCCAGACAUAUGCCUCUAUCCAAAAUUACUAUACAAAGCUAUUGAAACCAUCAAAACUCUAUUUCGGAGUCGUCGGCAUACAAGUCAAACUCUGGUUAACUCUUUCAACUUAAGCUUCCAACCUUGGGACUAAGUGUCCCAAUUCACUAGAAACUUUCCCGAAACCAAUCCAACCACCGGAAAAGUCAUAUAAUCACAAAUGAAUAUAAAAGAGGCAAUAAAUCGGGCAACACGAAUACAAUAUACAAAAUGACCGGCCGGGUCGUUACAAGGCUUGGUUUAUAAGUUGUAACCUCGAGUAAUAUACCUUUCAUGUCCAAAUGUGACCAUGCAAAGCAAUCAAAGUUAUCCUUAAGGAAUUUAAUUAUUUUGACUUUGAGUUCAAGACUCAGCCUCAUAACUAGAUAUAACUUCUUUCCCAGGAACUCGGUGAACAUGAUGCCAUGCUCGAGUUCUUCUGCUGUAGACUUGGCUGCAUAAGUAUCAUCCGAUACCUAAAAAUAUGAAGAAUACAUUAAUAGUUCUAGAAAAUUUUAAACUCAUAGAUAUUUUAUAGCAUGGUUAUACAGGUAAAAACAAUGGUCAAAUUACACAUUUUACCUUCCUAAAAAUAAGUAAUCAAUAAAUUUUAUCAGUACUAAAUUCUUUCAAGUAACAAAAUAAAAACAAAAUUGCUUCCUUCCUAAAAUCUUUUAUGAAUAAAUAUAAAUUUGCUUUCACAUAACAAAAUUGUUUUCACAUGAACACGAGUAACACACAUAUAAACUUCAGUUUUUUUUUUGUUUUUUUUUGCAGAAGAAAUAUUUAAAUGAUGUUCAACCUCAUGAUAUUCUCAAUCAUAAAAUAUGCAAUACUAUGAAUCAUUAUUUUAGUUACUCUCAAUUUUCAUAUGUCUAUAGAUGAGUAGAACUUUUAGCACGCAUGUGCUAAAAGUUUUGACAGUCCACAGGGCUAAUUAGAAAAUUUAAUGUAUGAUUUGCAUAAAAUAUUUAGAGCACAUACUAAGAGUUGAGCGUUAGAUGUUCUUAGACACUGCUGGGCGCUUAUGCACUACAAAACUAAACCCCACAUGCGUGCCUCAAGGCAUUUUGUAAGUGCUACUGUUACGACCCGAUAGGUCAUUUUGAGUACUAGCCUUUACUUUUGUAUUCUGAGACCUUCAGUAGCUUCAUUUAAUAUUUCUUGGUUUAUGUGCAUGGUUCGUAUCGCUUUUCAAAAUACGUUUAUGUGAAAUUUAGGAGAAAAUAAAAAUUUUGACUAAAAAAGAGGCUAGAGUUGACAGUGAUAAAUAUUUUGGGUAAACAACCCUAGAUCUAUGUUUUGACGAUUCCAGUAGGUUCGUAUUGUGAUUUUGGAUGUGGUCGUAUGUCCGAAAUUAAAUUCGGAGGUCCCUAGGUUGAUUUGACUUAUUUUACCGAAAGUUAGCAAUUUGAAUAUUUGAAAAUUCCCUAGGUUUGACCGUAUGUUGACUUUAUAGUUAUCGGGGUUGGAUAUUUAUUUUGGAACUUGGAAUAAGUCCGUUUUAAUAUUUGAAACUUGUUUACAAAAUUUGGUGCAAUUCCGAGUUGGUGUGAUAGGAUUCGGAUGCUUGGUUGUGAUUCUAGAGGUUCUUGAGUUUUCUUUUGAAUUUCAUGCCUUUUGAUGUACGAUUCGUGGUUCUAGAUUUUAUUUUGGUGUUUUGAUCGCGUGAGCAAGUUCGUAUGAUUUUUUUAGACUUGUGUGUAUAUUUGGUCUGGAGUCCGAGGGGAUCAGGGGAGCUUUCAGAUGUGAUUCAGAAGGUUUUGGAUUGGUGGUGUGUUAGAUGGUGUUUCAGGUUUGCAGGUUUCGCAAUUGCCAGUCCCACUUUUGCGAAGUCGGACUCGCAAAUGCGACAUUUGGGUAGGGGACUAUAAUCCCUGUCGCAAAUGGGAGGUGGGUGGUCCAUUUUUGCAAUGGAUAGGCCGCUAAUGCGACUAGAAGCUAGGUUGGACAGUUUCCGCAAAUGCGACCUCUAUCUCGCUUUUGUGAUUUGGGCUUCAUCGCAAAUGCGCUAUUUUAUGCUGCAAAUGCAACAUCUGGGGACUGUUGGAUAGUUUGCUUUAGCGAACAACUGUUUGCAUUUGCGGGAGUCGAAUUUGCAAACCCUCGAACCAGAGUACGCAAAUGCGACACUUGUAGCUAGGUAAAAGAGAGAAAAACAGGACUUGGCUUAUUUUACACUAUUUCUCAAAACACUCUAGAGGCGAUUUUUCACGAAUUUCUUCUUCCUAAAUUCAUUGAUUAGCAACUUUAAUCCAUUUUUUUUUUCAAUCCCCAUUACUUUUCAUGAGUUUUUAACAUCAAGUCUAGGAUUUCCAUGAUAGAAAUUAAGGAUUUGGGUAGAAUUUGAGAAUUUUAUAAAAUUGAGAUUUAGACCUCAAAUUGAGGUUGUAUUUAAAAUAAAUCACAUUACCGGGCUCGAGGAUAAAUGGGUAAUCGCAUUUUGGUCCAAAUCUCGAAUUUUGACCAAAGGGGCCCGGGGUUGACUUUUGUUAAUUUUUUCAAUUUCGUCAAAGAUUGAACUUUUUUUCUUUGUGAGUAGUUUCUAAAGCUUAUUUUGAAUUGUUUAAUCGAUAAUUGGUUUUUGGCUGUUUUGGAGGCUUAUUCAAAAGUCAAUGUCGUGGUUGGUUGGUUGAUUGACUUGGUUGUGGAGUGAGGUAAGUAUUGUGUCUAACCUUGACUUGAGGGAAUUAGGACUUGUUGAACUAUUUGCUAUGUGAAUUAUGUGGGGAAACGACGCAUAUGCAAAGUGACGAGUGUAUAUGCACCGUCAUGGGAUUUAACAUGGGGGAUUGGGCUAUUUAUUUCUAUGUCAUCAUUUAUUCCAUGUAAUCUCGUGUUAUAUGUUCUAAUUGUUAGAUGUUCUUACUUGACAUCUAUGCUUUACUUGUUAAUUGUUAUUCAAUUGUUAUUUGCUUGAUUUGUUCAUUUCUUACCCAAUAUCUACCUACUACAUGUUCCUACUUGUCCUAAUUGUAUAUUCUCAUUGUCACAUGUUUUACUUGAUUUUAUUUUUCUUAUAUUACUUGAUGCACUCCAUUAUAUUUUUUUCAAUUACGUGGGCCAUUAGCUAUUUUUAUUAAUGCUUUGCCAAGGUUUGAGGAUUUCGAAGUAUUGACCAAUCUUCGUUUGUACUGAUAGUUUCAUAUUGUUUCGCUCAUUCCAUUCGAUGUUAUGUUGAUAUUUUGUGAAUAGUGGUGUUGGGUUAUUUAUGUUGAUAAAUUGAUAUUGCGGGAUUGGGUUGCUUGCUACAACGAUACUGAAAUAAUUUGAUAUUGGGGGAUCGGGUUGUACAUCGCAACGGAAUAAGAAAUCAUAUGAUAUGAUAUUGAAAAUGAAUUGUACGUUGAGAAAGAUAUUGUGUUAAAAUUUGGAUCGGGUUGGACGCCGCAACGAAUUUGAUAUGUUGUAGUUGUGUGGUGGCUGUAGAAUUUAUUCUUGAUAUUGUGAUACGAGUUUGAGAUUUUAUUAUUCUAGGGCCCUCUGGUAGUUGACAUUCAUGUCCAGUUAUAUGAGUUUACUUCUUUAUUUCUGUUCCUGUUUUCUAUUAUUAUUAUUAUUAUUAUUAUUAUUAUUAUUAUUAUUAUUAUUAUUAUUAUUAUUAUUAUUAUUAUUAUUAUUAUUAUUAUUAUUAUUGUUAUUAUUUCGUACUAGUUCAUUGUGAGUGACUUGUCAUAGCGUCGUCACUACUUUGUUGAGGUUAGGCUCGGCACGUACAUAAUACAUGGGGUCGGUUGUACUCAUGCUACACUUCUGCACUUUGUGUGUAGAUAUUGGUGUUGGUUCUAGCGGCGCGUAGCGGAGACUGCUCUGAUUUGACAGCUACAUGUGACUUGAGGUAGAGCUGCUGGCAUUCGCAGUCUCUGAAGUCCCCUUCUAUCAUGUUUUGUUGUUAUUUCAGUUUCAGACAGUAUUAUGUUUUACUUCAGAUCAUGUUUGUAGUAUUCUAUAUACUCAUGUACUUUUGACUCCGGAUUUCUGGGAGUAGUUUCGUACCAUGUUAUUUAUAUUAAUACAAUGUUCAUUCAAGCAAGUAGAUGUUAGGC